This 494-nucleotide ribosomal RNA is filed under the name uncultured bacterium. Its description in RNAcentral is "partial 16S ribosomal RNA". It matches the Rfam family "Bacterial small subunit ribosomal RNA", at positions 28 to 507 of the family's 1533-position model. The record is from RNAcentral.
GACGAACGCUGGCGGCGUGCUUAACACAUGCAAGUCGAACGGUGAAGCGCCUUCCUUUUUGGUGGGUGUGGAUGAGUGGCGAACGGGUGAGUAACACGUGAGUAACCUGCCCCCUUCUUCUGGAUAACCGCAUGAAAGUGUGGCUAAUACGGGAUAUUCUGGGUCUGUCGCAUGAUGGGUCUGGGAAAGAUAUUGUUUCGGUGGGGGAUGGGCUCGCGGCCUAUCAGCUGGUUGGUGGGGUGAUGGCCUACCAAGGCGGUGACGGGUAGCCGGCCUGAGAGGGUGGACGGUCACACUGGGACUGCGCCACGGCCCAGACUCCUACGGGAGGCAGCAGUGGGGAUUAUUGCACAAUGGGCGCAAGCCUGAUGCAGCGACGCCGCGUGAGGGAUGGAGGCCUUCGGGUUGUGAACCUCUUUCGCCAGUGAAGCAGGCCUGCCUCGUUUGUGGGUGGGUUGACGGUAACUGGAUAAGAAGCGCCGGCUAACUACGUG